This 1295-nucleotide long non-coding RNA is filed under the name Cottoperca gobio. RNAcentral describes it as "lncRNA (ENSCGOG00000013934.1)". Lineage: Eukaryota; Metazoa; Chordata; Actinopteri; Perciformes; Bovichtidae. The record is from RNAcentral.
GUCUUUUCAAAUGGACUGGUACAAAACAAAAGACUGGCUAUGUGGCCGCGCUAACGUUAGCAGUCAGCGACUGUACGGCUAUCGCUGCCCGCUGUUUCAACGACUAUUAUCUAAGAGUUGUCUAGAGAUCUACAGAUUGAGACAAACCGGUGUGCAACCAUACAUUUCCAUGUACUCUCCAUCCUUACUGCUUUUGCCGCACACAGCAAAAGUGUGCCAGUGCCUCAGGGAUGACAGAAACAGCUGCCAGGAGGAUGUUUUACCGAGUGUAUAGCUGUCUGCAGCCCCGGGAAACGGCUCAAGUUCAGCCACAACAUCGAGGGAACUACAAACACUCUGUUGCUGCCGUUACACAGGUCCAGCAGCCCGCUGUGACUGCCCGUGCUGGGGCUUGCUCUGGCUGAGCUCAAGUCUCUUUGGCCACUAACAUUAGUAACUAACAUUAACAUUAAUGGCCCAGUAAAAACACAUGGAUCAGACCCACGUGAAGAUUAUAAAACAGCAAUUACAUUUUGGUUGAAUUUUGGUAUUCUUGUCCACUGACUGACUGACAGGCAUUACACAGGAGUGAAUGCAAUACACAAUAUAACAAAUGCAAUAAAUAUUCCAAACUACUACAACUACAAUAAGAACAUUAGAGAUUGUAUGGACUUAUUUCUUUGGAGCAGGUGGCUCAGAAUUACACACUGACUCUUUAAGUUAAGUUACUCUGUCAUGCACAGAGCACCUUAUUUUCAUUAGAGAUACUGUCAGUGUGAGUUCAACCUGGUUGGCAUGAAAUGGAGGUGGCAUCAGUGGCAGGCAAACAGUGCUUAAGCCCUGGGUGUAAUAAUCCAAACAUAAUGAGAAAAGAGACACGAUCCUUCCCCUCGCAGCCUGUCUUUUUUGUGCAUGUCAGUCCCUUGAUUAGUUCCCUUUGACCAGGUUUGACCAAGAUGUCGCUAAUUUCCCCUUCAAAUUUGCUCUUCUUCCUCUUUUCUAUUUCUUCCCCUCACCUACCCACUCAAUGUAUUUCCUCUUGUCCUAACAAAUCCAUCAUCUCCUGUCAAUAAAGAUUGAAAUCACAGAGGAAAAUGUUUCGGAUAUGCUUAUUAGUUCUGUUGGGAAUUAUUUAUCAUCCUCAUUAGUUGGCGGCAGGAAACAGGAUUGAAAGAGUCCGGCCCAAUCUGCAAGUAGGCCGACUGAAAAUAAACAUACAGUAUGAAUCAAGCAUUAGAUCACACUAUGGGAUGUACGUAAGUUUUAAUAUUCUUUGCUGCUUUUCUCGGUGUGACAGGAGACUUUUAUUUACAUAC